Molecule: transfer RNA, 45 nt
Filed under: Ariptyelus sp. AP QW-2021
Lineage: Eukaryota; Metazoa; Arthropoda; Insecta; Hemiptera; Aphrophoridae
Description: partial tRNA-Leu
Source: RNAcentral
CAAUGAACUUAAGAUUUAUAUAUAAAACAAAAAUUUUUAUUAGAA